RNAcentral lists this long non-coding RNA (1206 nucleotides) under Castor canadensis (American beaver). Its description in RNAcentral is "lncRNA (ENSCCNG00000024667.1)". Lineage: Eukaryota; Metazoa; Chordata; Mammalia; Rodentia; Castoridae. The record is from RNAcentral.
UAAAACCCCAAACAGCAAAGAGCCUUCCUUGUAAACCAGCCAAUCUGGAUGGGUGGGGCAGUGCUGUGUCCCCGCACCGGCAACCUCCCUUUCACCGUGCACCAAGCCUGGCGGCGGCGGCUGGCCUGCGGGUCCCUCCCGGGAUGGCAAUGCGACUUGGAAACGGCGCGCGCUCAGCCUGCGCGCUCCGCCACCGCAGCCAAUCCGCGGGUGCACUGCGGGUGACCUCCCCCGGGCCGGGGAAUAAAUUGCCAAGUUCCCCCACCGCGGGUGUCUUUGCUAGCCGGCGGGUUGCAGUCUUCCAGGCUAAUUAGGAAGCCGGUCAUGAGGAGCGAGGAGGGCCUGGGCUCUGCGCUGGCCGGAGCGGGGCAGGGGCAGGGGCGGGCAGCGCUCGGCUCCGGGGUCCGGGCAUCCGCGAGCCACCACGGGUAGAGCACUCGCUCUCGCUCGCUUGCUUGCUUGCUUGCUCCCUCGCUCACAUCUGCUAGCCACCCCGGAGCUUCCCCGGAGCUGCUGCCAGGACUCCUUCAAGCCAGAGCAAGUUUUCCAGGGCGCUGCGACCUUGGCGCGCUGGAUGGACCCGCCUGGGAAGCCGGACCCGGGGAGGUCGAGGCUGGCUGGCCCGGUAAGGUUUCCCCGCAGUUGCCACCCUCCUUUUGGGUCUCCUAUGGCGGAGAUGCACAUGCCAAGCGUGCCCCCUGCCUGGACAUACACCUCAAGGGUUCAGCUGUGCCUUUUCUGGAGAUUUUGAACUUGUCCGCCUGCAAUCCGGAGAGUGCGUCGGUCCAGUGGAUUGGCUUUGUUUUUGCAUCCUCUUCAGCUCCGCUUUGGCUUUGGGAUUCUCUGACUGCCUGGGUACGCCUCUCCUUUGUGGGCAUCAGAUACCAGCUCUGAGAAGCUGUUUAACACUGUUACUGUAAACAAAGCUUAUCACUGGCUUUAAUGGACUGAUGAGCAAGCCAUCCUGGAAUCCAGAAGUGACUUCUAGGAUCUGGAAGGAGAACUGGCGGACUGGCCAGACGUUCAGGCUCUGCAUAAUUAAUCUGGAGGAGCCCAACCAACUGCCUGGUGCGCCUUGUUGUGUUCAGUUAGGAUUCACCGGAAAUGGAUUUGAAUUUCGGCUCUACCCCUUCCUAGCUGUUUAAAAUGUCACAACACCAUUUUUUUCCUUCUGUAAAAUGGGAAUAAAUAAUUAAGCCUAUCCCA